RNAcentral lists this long non-coding RNA (224 nucleotides) under Elaeis guineensis (African oil palm). RNAcentral describes it as "long non-coding RNA (EGUI_LNC059168)". Lineage: Eukaryota; Viridiplantae; Streptophyta; Magnoliopsida; Arecales; Arecaceae. The record is from RNAcentral.
GUUAGAGGAUAAGUCUAUGAAAGCUCAUUUAUGGGGUAUCCCAAAAGGGUUUGGGAGGUCGCUUUCUCUUCCCAGUAGUUCACAAUAUGAUUAUGAGCAAUCAUACUAUUUUUUUAGAAAUAGUAGAAGUAUGAACUCAAAGAGAAAAUCUCUAAAGAACAAUGAGUCACAAGACCUAUACAACCUAUUUAAGAUGAGCCAGUAUAUAUAGUACUUCCCCCACC